GAUGAACGCUGGCGGCGUGCUUAACACAUGCAAGUCGAACGAUGAAGCCCAGCUUGCUGGGUGGAUUAGUGGCGAACGGGUGAGUAACACGUGAGUAACCUGCCCUUAACUCUGGGAUAAGCCUGGGAAACUGGGUCUAAUACCGGAUAGGAGCGCCUACCGCAUGGUGGGUGUUGGAAAGAUUUAUCGGUUUUGGAUGGACUCGCGGCCUAUCAGCUUGUUGGUGAGGUAAUGGCUCACCAAGGCGACGACGGGUAGCCGGCCUGAGAGGGUGACCGGCCACACUGGGACUGAGACACGGCCCAGACUCCUACGGGAGGCAGCAGUGGGGAAUAUUGCACAAUGGGCGAAAGCCUGAUGCAGCGACGCCGCGUGAGGGAUGACGGCCUUCGGGUUGUAAACCUCUUUCAGUAGGGAAGAAGCGAAAGUGACGGUACCUGCAGAAGAAGCACCGACUAACUACGUG
RNAcentral lists this ribosomal RNA (466 nucleotides) under uncultured bacterium. Its description in RNAcentral is "partial 16S ribosomal RNA". It matches the Rfam family "Bacterial small subunit ribosomal RNA", at positions 28 to 507 of the family's 1533-position model. The record is from RNAcentral.